This 445-nucleotide ribosomal RNA is filed under the name Corynebacterium amycolatum. RNAcentral's name for it is "bacterial SSU rRNA". It matches the Rfam family "Bacterial small subunit ribosomal RNA", at positions 353 to 790 of the family's 1533-position model. Lineage: Bacteria; Bacillati; Actinomycetota; Actinomycetes; Mycobacteriales; Corynebacteriaceae. The record is from RNAcentral.
AGUGGGGAAUAUUGGACAAUGGGCGAAAGCCUGAUCCAGCCAUGCCGCGUGUGUGAAGAAGGUCUUCGGAUUGUAAAGCACUUUAAGUUGGGAGGAAGGGUUGUAACCUAAUACGUUGCAAUUUUGACGUUACCGACAGAAUAAGCACCGGCUAACUUCGUGCCAGCAGCCGCGGUAAUACGAAGGGUGCAAGCGUUAAUCGGAAUUACUGGGCGUAAAGCGCGCGUAGGUGGUUUGUUAAGUCUGAUGUGAAAGCCCACGGCUCAACCGUGGAGGGUCAUUGGAAACUGGGAGACUUGAGUGCAGAAGAGGAUAGUGGAAUUCCAAGUGUAGCGGUGAAAUGCGUAGAGAUUUGGAGGAACACCAGUGGCGAAGGCGGCUUUUUGGUCUGUAACUGACGCUGAGGCGCGAAAGCGUGGGGAGCAAACAGGAUUAGAUACCCGGG